This 434-nucleotide long non-coding RNA is filed under the name Marmota monax (woodchuck). Lineage: Eukaryota; Metazoa; Chordata; Mammalia; Rodentia; Sciuridae. The record is from RNAcentral.
GUUCCACAUGGGCAGGAACCAUGGCUAUUUUGACUAACCAUUUUAUCUCAGAGCCUAGUUCAGAGCCUGGCAAGAGUUCAAUAAAUACAUGCUUAAAAAUAUUUGAGAAUAAAAAUUAACUUGUUUGGGAAGAGGUAACUGUUAAACUAUGACGCAAAGAAAAGACCACCGACUCCAAUUUAAAUCAAAUUAAAGCAAGCGUAUUAUUCUGACCGGCCGGGACUGUCCCUCUCCUGAAAUCUGUGGGAAUAGAAGACAGUACCCUGGCUCUCUACGAGCGCAGUUUUAUAGCACAAAAAGUUGCAAAAGGGGGGUGUCUUGAGAACUUGCAGAUAACAGGAUUUUGACAAGCAUAAUACAAAGGCAGGUAGUAGGUUGAUGGUCUAAAUGGUUUAGCACUUAGGGAGUAAAUUUAGAUCCCAACAUCAUAAUUU